UAAUCCUGUCACUGUAAAAUCCUACACUCAUUCUUCCACGCACAGAGGGAAAAGGGACUCACUAGGAAGACCUAGUCUUUCAGUUUUAACUAUUAACCAAUAGUGGAAAAACAAGGAUGCCUAAGUUAUGCCUUCAGAGCCAAUAGGGUGGAUUUGUGUGUCCCACAUGACAGCAUUUCCCCUGUCUUUCACAUGAGCAGUAUUUAGUUGAAUUCAGAAUUGCAGAUAGUACAGCUUGCACGGCAGCAAUGGGAUGUCUGAGCACAAGUGACUGACUUCCGAGUGACUUUAUAAAACACUUUUGUACUUUCCUUCUGCAUUAAAUUGGGAUCUGCAUCCUUGACAUUCACCCACCACACACAUCUCUACUGAAGGAAACAGUGACUAGCACAGCUUAGCAGUAUGAAACUGCCCUAUGCUCAAAUACCACAAAGAAGGGCAUAAGAAGCAGCAUUGAACUGAAUAUGAAGGCAAAAUUCCCAUUGACUUCCAUGUUUAUCUGCACCAGAGGAAUUGGAGCAGAAUUGCAGACCAACAAACGAAGUGAGCUGAAGGCAAUUUGACCAAUGUCUUCUGUGUGAAUUCCACAGAGGCUGAUGAAGCAUGUUAUCAGGUCUCCAAGAGGAAGGCUCUAACAUCAGAUAUAAACAAAGGAACUGCUUUCUUUAAAAUUCAGCUGUUUUAAGGCCAGAGAAUUGUUCUUUCGGGGCCUGAUCCGGCAAGACCUCACAUGGGCUACUCCACUGAAUACAAGAGAGAUUACUCAGAACCCUUAAGAUUCCAGCGAGAGUCCAGAGACAAAAAGUAGACGCUAAGAACAGGUUCAUUUACCACAUUUCACUUAAAACAAAAUGGGGACAAGGAGACAAAGCCCUGAAGAGAGCAGAACCAGCAAUAGAAAGAGCUCUGAUCUCCUAACUCCCAGCCCAGUACCCUAUUUAUUGGGCAACAUUGCCUCACAUGUACUUAAACAUUUGCUUGUGAACAACUACAGCUGGCAGGUGCACCAGAUAUUUUAUGAGUGCAGCUUUAAAAUUAUUGGCUUCAGUGACUUGUAUGCAAAAAAUUAAAUAAUGUGGCAGAGUUGGGACUAGAGAGCACAGAUCUCCAAAUUCAUCAUUUUGGUCUUUAACCACUAGACUAUGUUCUAUGUCAGAUAAGGAAAGUAUGUCUGUCUGAGGCAAUCAAAACAGGAGAGAUGGUAAGAAAUGGUCUUCAAAAGGUGAUAGUGAGUACAGAGAGUUACUAGCUGAACUGCUUGUGCUUUAGCUUGAGCCUAUCAUGUUGCUUCUAAUUUUCACCUCAUCUUUGAUUUAGCUUCCACUUGACACGUUUUGGGCCUGGGCCACACAGAUCUCUAUGCCAGACUGUUUGCAAUUCCGAGUGUUUUGCCUUGCCUAGAAAGUUAGAUUGCUGAAAUAUUUGCUAGAAUAAAUAGAGGUUAAGUGUGAAGUCAGUAGGUGAGCUUUGCUUCACGGAUAUUGGUAUAAAAAGCAGUUGCCAUACUACUUUGAGUGAUCUAAAGAACAGAUGUUUGUAUGUGAUUUAUGAACACAAAUGUGUUCAUCUUCCAUAAAUAGCAAUAUGUUCCAGUAACAAACUGAAUAGAGAAUUCUAGCCCAAGAGGGCUGGGCAACUGCAGGCAGUAUUUGAAAUUGUCCAUUAAUUCUUGGUUUUACAUGAAAAAUAGACUAUAAAUCCAAUCCUGUAAUCCCUUCACAUUUGAGUGGUUCCUCUGAUUUCAAAAUAGGACUAUUCAUGUAAGUAUGGCAUAAUCAGACCUGAUAAUACAGAUGUCUGUUUAAGAUAAUUAAAUGUAAUUAAAUCAAUAAUAAUGACAUUCAAUAUACAGUAAAUGCACUUUGGAAACAUUACAUUAAUAUGACCUAGUUUGUAUUUUAGUCAUUAUCAGAAUUUUAGCAAAUUUCCAAAGCUAAAAAUUUUAUGGCUAAGUAUUCACUGAAAGCUUCUAGUUCUCUGAAUAAUUUCUGUAAGAGUAAUCAAAUAUUUGAUUAAGCAAAUAGGUCAUCACCACUGCUCACACUUGCACUGGUCCUAAACUAUUGUGGUUAAACAGCAUCCCAUUUCUCAGAAAGAUUGUGUUGCAGACAUGUAAUAUUAGCUGAUGUGCUUAAUUUUAACAGCACAGUUAAUUUUUGGACAGCAAGUUUACUCAAAAACCAUCUUCAGUAACCAUCAGUGAAAUCUUGUGGACUGAGGGAAGCUAUGUAUUUAUUCAGCAAUUUGCCAUGUAGGUCACAAAGUUUUUAAAAGAUUUCUAUAGCUGCUAUUUUAUUUCAAAACAGGUUUUCUAACAUGCCAACAUUUAUUCUUUAAAUUUCAUGGGCAGUUGCAUUACACCAGGAAUACAUUUGGUACACAGUAUAGUUUCCAUUUGUACACACAUUAUAUAUACAUACAUAUAUACACACCAUAUCACUAGAAAAAAUGGCUCCAUAAGUGGCAGAAUUUACACAAAGCAAUCUAUUAUGAUUCGUAUUGAAUAUAACAUUUUCCCUUUCUGUGUUAGACUGGUAAGUGGUAUUGCUCUGACAUGUUACACAGCUGCUACUCUUUUCCCCAGAGGUGGCUGCAUUUCAUGGUGGGUGAAAGGAUUCCCUAGAACAUCCUUUUGCUCCAGUACUACACAAGGAUAUUAAAAUAUUUUCAUAAACUUUAAGGCCAGAUGAGACCAUUAUGACAAUCUAAUCUGAUCUCCUGCGUACACCAGCCAUCUAAUGCCACCCCGUAACUCCCACAUUGAGUCCAUAUUUAGGAAUUGAUUCUGCACUCCCAACACACCCCAAACUUCUAUGCACUUCAGUUAGGGUUUGUAAAAAUAUUGUGAGAUCAGAUAAUACUGCUUCACAGUUUAGGUUCUGUUGUUGUCUUUUACCCAUGUGUUGCAGAAGUGAAUGCUUCUUCCCCACCCCCCUUUCUGCUACAGAAGGACUUCCUUUCUUGCAGUGUCCAUAAAUUUUUACUUUUAACACUAAGUUUCAUUUCAAUAAGUUACUAGCAUUGGACAGCCAGCCAAGAAAAAAAAUAAAGCUUCUGUUGACAAUGGUCAAGUGGAUUUAACUCAUUCUUUGU
Molecule: non-coding RNA, 3093 nt
Organism: Caretta caretta (loggerhead turtle)
Lineage: Eukaryota; Metazoa; Chordata; Testudines; Cheloniidae
Source: RefSeq, a predicted model, not a curated record